Molecule: long non-coding RNA, 2783 nt
Filed under: Gallus gallus (chicken)
Lineage: Eukaryota; Metazoa; Chordata; Aves; Galliformes; Phasianidae
Source: RNAcentral
GGGGAGGGAAAUGUCACCCGGCGGGCGCGGUGCUGAGGGACGGAGCGAGGGGACGGAGGGACAGGGAGCGCCGCCGGCUGUCAAGAGCAGUUGCCAAGUGAUCUUCUCCACAGCACCCACGAACUUUGGCCUUACACUGAAGAGGACUCGUCAAAUGCUUUGGGAGAUACAACACGGAAUUGGAAGAGAAGCAUGGAUCUACCUGAAGGGCAGUUCGCUGCAUUCUUGGUAAGUUCAAAACACGUGUAUAAAAUUUUAUCUCUGUUAAAUUUUCACCUUUAUGAAUUGACAUCUAUUUAAGGUCCUUUGCACAGGGACAGAACAAAGGCAGUUUCAUGGAAAUGGUCUCUAUUCUCUGGAUUCUUUUACGCUCUCACCCUGUAAAAACCUGUGUUGUGUUAUAGCUGAGUUUGUGGUGUGACUCCUGAAUGAAAACAGUAAAUGACAUGAAAUUCAGUUACUUUCACAGUGAUUAUACAACUGUGUUUUCAUGCCCACUUUCUGAAUAAAACAAGAUAUAUAGGAAUGAGUUUUCUCCUAGUAACUUCUGAAUCCACUGCUUCAUUUGAGCUGCAUUUGAUACAGAGAUAGAGGUCGCAAGGUCAAGUUUCUACAGUUUCAAUGAAACCUGGCAGAUGAGAUUAGAAAAAUGACUCGAAUUUGUGCCUCCAGGACAGAAAAAGCUUCAGCAUGGACUUGGAAGUUUUCUAUUCCAUUCAACCUGCUGCCUUGCAGAUUAGCAUCCUUGGUUGGUCUGAUGGUCACAAUGUGAGUUGCUCCCAGUAGUGAGAAGGUGGUGUUUUGUGAAGGAAUUUAGGGAAAUUAUUUAGAAGGGAGUGGGAAUCCAGCCAGGGUAACGUCAGCCUGGGAUUGCUGCACAAGUAUUUUGGGGCAUGUGCAAGCACAUUAGUAAAUAACUAGACUUUGUAACUUUGCUGGUCAUGAAAAAAACCCUUGUUUUUGCAAGAGCCUUCCAGUCUCCCAAACCAAUCAUGUACCCUUCAACUUUAUGGUGGUCUAUACCUACGUUAGAUGCAUGUUUUUCCUAUCCUUGUCAGAGAAGGGAAUUGUUGAGGCAGUUUCGCUAUUUCAUUUCUUUGAUGGCUUGAAUGUCAGCUCUGAGAUAUUCCAUAGGCUGUCACAUUUGUAACAGUGUGUUUUCCGCUCUUCUCAGAAACUGACUGUCAUUUGGACUGCAGCUAUGUGUCCCUGACCUCUCCUCCAGUCUGCACUCUCGGAGCAGUGCAUUGUAUUCCAGUUAACUUCCUUAUUGGAGAAAGAUGUGGAGCUAGGCAGAGGGGCAGAAAGCAGUAUUAGGAUCUGGCUGCAUAAGUUACCACGUUGCAUUGCAUCUUUGAUAAUGCCAUAUUUCCCUAGCUUUAUGGUCUUGGGCUCCUAGAGAACUGACUGUCCCAAAAAGUAUAGUCUGCUCAUUCUCAGUCAGUAAGAAAUGGGUACAUUAUACUUGCCAGAGGUACUGGUUCACUCAGGUAGGCUCAGGUGCUGGUUCACACUUGCAGGCUAAUGUGACUGGUAGGUCUGAUAUUUUUAAAUUUUCUGUGUAACAGUAGAUGGGAGAAGCAUUCAAGGCCAGACUGGAUGGGGCUUUGAGCAACCUGGUCUAGAGGGAGGUGUCCCUGCCUAGAGCAAGGGGUUGGAACUAGGUGACCUUAAAGGUCCCUUCCAACACAAACCAUUCUAUGAUUCAAUAAUUCUAUAUCUUAAGACACUUUUUGAACAGAACUUACAGCUGGAGCACCGAUCUUGAGAAAGAGGAGUUGAAUUUGUCAUUAUAAGUCAUGUAUAUAAACCAAAAGUUUUAAAGGGAAUAAAAGGCGAAGAAACACUUCAAAUUCAGUAACUUCUAAGACAACUGCCUUGAAAUUUGUUGUAAUGUCUGAAAUGUGGAUUUCAAAUUUUUGCUUGUCCUCCUGCCCAGUUGAAAGCUUUAAGCCUGGCAAGGAACAAAAAACUGUGGUGCUCUUCUCCAUUUUCUGUUUGUUUACAAGUCUGUUGUUUGACAAAAUCACAGCCAGUAAGAGAACAACUUGUUGCUCAAAAAUAAAACCAAAAGUAGAGAAUUAAAAAAGACUGCAUUCCAUCCUUAUGGAACUCCUGAUUCUUCUGUUAGAUUGUCAGAUCCUUUAAUUUGUUCGUAGCUUUUGCUUGUUUGUUUUAAAUAUUGUUGUUUCUUUAAUGGUAUCUAAAUUAAAGGAAUAAAGAAAUGUCUUCUGCAUGUUUCUAGGAUCUAGUUCUUAUAUCCUUUAUCAUCAGUGCUCUUGCACAGUGUCACCAGUUAAAUAUUAUUUCAUGGAACCCAUGGUUAAUGUGUUUGUAAAUGUUUUAUGAUAUAGAAAAGCGUUGUAACUGAAAAUAAAAUGCCUUUUAAAGAUCAACAUAGAUGUAUUUUUAAUAAGAACAGUGAGGUCAAAUCAUAAAUGUUAAGUUUUGUGUGAAUGGCAAAGAGGUGGUAUAUAUUUGUUUAACAUUACAUUUGUACUUCCUGCAUUCUAAAUAGUUUUCUGGAGGAGCUUAAAUUUAGGAAAUGAUUGCAGUUGAUUUUUGUAAGGAUUUUUUGUUUAAAAAAGAUCACUUUUAGUCUAAAAUUGACUACUGUUUAUCAUGUGUUUUCAAAUACUUUAGUCUUCGAUGCUGCUGUAUGUGGCCAGAUGCUUUCAUAGAAUCACAGAAUGGCCUGGGUUGAAAAGGACCACAAUGGUCAUCUAGUUUCAACCCCCCUGCUAUGUGCAGGGUCACCAACCACCAGACCAGGCUGCCCCGAG